RNA transcript from Nyctereutes procyonoides (raccoon dog), 5257 nucleotides. It is a transcript of the gene named geranylgeranyl diphosphate synthase 1, with no coding region annotated. The record is from RefSeq and is a predicted model, not a curated record. NCBI's taxonomy places the organism in Eukaryota, Metazoa, Chordata, Mammalia, Carnivora, Canidae. The transcript is spliced from 4 exons.
GGCUGGAAGGCGGGGUCGAGAGGAAAGAAAGAAAGGAGGGUGAGGACCCGGAUGCUGAACCGGAUUGUGUAUGAAUUUUCCGUACUUGCUAGAGCAGGGGAGGAGCGGUAGGUGAUCCGGUGCGGCGGAAGGGGGCAUCUGAGCGGAGAGGAAGCAGGAACCUCACUGACCCUGCGGGCUUCGUACGAGUAGAGGAAUCGCGUGAAGCGGUUUUGCCAAGUCUCUUAAAAACCUGCCUUGAAGUUAUUUAAAUCUAUUGCUUGUAUCUCGGGCAGUUUUCUUCAGCUCUGUCAUCUCCCAAAGUUUGCGUGGAAGGACUCACUCUGCGUUUCACAGCCAAGCUUACGUUUGUAUAUCACUAUUUAGCAAUUUUGAAACCAGAUCAUUGCCGGGGUGUGGGGGAGGGGGGAAAUUGCAUGGUAUUUUUAUCUUUUUAUAGUGAAAGCGUAUGCCCUGAUUUCAUCCUCUAGCGCGUUUCCGUUGGUUCAUUCAGUCGUUCACAAAUUUGUUGAGUGCCUACCAUGUAAAAAAACGGUGCAGACAGGAAGUAAAGUGGACACACGAGUGUGACAUUGGUAAUGGUGGUGAGUAAUACAAAGGAGAGUUACGUGAUGCUUUAAUAGAAUAGGGGCUUUGGCUUAAGGGAAGCAAAGUGAGAAUCGAGCUAAGAGUGAGUUAGCAGGAGUUAACUAUGGAAAGAAGAUUCCAGACGGAGAAAAUAGCAUGUUGGAAAGCCAGGUAUCUAGAGGGAACUUUAAUAAAAGUUUGAAGAACUAACGUCGUCAUCGUCCUCAUAAAAAGAUAAAGUCUGAGGAACUGAAGAGGGGGAAGAAAGCCGGAGAGUCGCCCAAUCUUUAAGGAGCUUUGUUCUUACCUGAGAGUAAAGGGAUGUCUUCGCAGGGUUCUCAAUCGGUAGGGAAAUAAGGCCAGAUCUGAAUUUUGCAAAGAUUCCUGGCUGAAGAAUAGAGGUCUGGAUUAGAGGGGCAAAUGCAGGGAGCCCAGCCAGGCAAUUAUUUCAAUAGUAGUCCACAUUGAGGGGACAAUCUGUUUUUAUUAAUAUUCGUCCGUCAGGGAUCCCUGGGUGGCGCAGCGGUUUAGCGCCUGCCUUUGGCCCAGGGCGCCAUCCUGGAGACCCGGGAUCGAAUCCCACGUCGGGCUCCCGGUGCAUGGAGCCUGCUUCUCCCUCUGCCUGUGUCUCUGCCUCUCUCUCUCUCUCUCUCUCUCUCUCUCUGUGUGUGUGUGUGUGACUAUCAUAAAUAAAUAAAAAUUAAAAAAAAGAAAACCCUUUAAAAAAUAUAUAUAUUCAUCUGUUAAUUGUGUGAACAAAUUUAAGGCAGUUUUCCUGUUUUGAAAGGGAGUAGUUUCAGACUCUCUCACAGAUCCAUUCUGUAGUCAUUCAAUCUAAAUAAAAAUAAGUUAGUAUAUCUUGUGUAACACUGACACCUUUUUAUUUGAAUCUAGUAUCUGAUGGCUGAAAUUUCCAGCUAUAAUAAAUAGGAGUCCUUUGCAUUAAAAAACAAAACAAAGCAAAACAAAAAAACAGGGAGGGCAUAGGCCACAGUUUGUAGAACCCGUUAGACUUAAGACAAAACAUUACUUUUCAAUACCUAGAAAAAUUGCGGUUCCUCUGUUUUCCCACCACUGAGAAUACUUACAUAUAAACAUCCUCUAGGAAAGGAACAUUAAUUGACUCACUUGUUAAGUGAGUGUUCUUACGGUAAUUUUUUAAAAGCCUUAAGAAUUGAAACACAGGUUAGCUCUGACUUCUGGGCAAGAAUAUACUUGUCUCCAGAAGGACAUAAAAGAGUUAUUGAAAGGUGGAUUUAUUCACUUUAAAGUUAAGUGUGUUCUGGAGGCUGUGAAAGAAUAAACAUGAUUAUGUCAACCUAAUUGGGAAGAGAUAGCUACCAACUUUUAAAUUCAGAAGUAUGUAAGAGAUGCCUUUUUAAAUUGUUUAUCCUACAUUUAAUUGUUGUAAUCUUUUGUGUAAGUGAUUAUUUUUCCUGCUUGUCAUCUUUUUUUAAUCUCCCAAGAAUGAGGUAAUGUGUCAAAGUUUAAAUUGUGUAAAUAAGAAAUUACUGAACUGAUUUUUAGAUAAUUUCAAAAUAUCUUUUCAACUUUUUUUCCCCUUGUGACAUGCUGAGUAUUGUCGGUUAAGGCAGGUUUAAAACUAUCUACAUGGAACGUUUCUCUUUGAGGUCAUAUUGCUAAGAUGAUUUCCUUUGCUGGAGUGCUCAAUUCUUAUGAUUGUUUCACCUAGGCACUCAAGAGAUUACAAAAAACACACUUCGGUUCAUGAUCCUACAGACCAAAUCUUUUUUAAAGAAGCAAAAGAAAGAUAAACUUGAGAAACUUUCUAAAAUGCCAAAAUGUCAGAGCAGUUAGAAAAAAAGAUUCCUAAGAUAAGAACAAAUAAAAAUAGCAAUAGAUACUUGGAAGGAAACAAAGUAGGGAUUGGAUUCAACAGUAAAGAAGGAUUGUAGGAAAUACCGAAGUAAAUGUAAAACUCAGAUAAUAAAUCACUACAGGAAGGGACCCCUGGGUGGCUCAGUGGUUGAGCGCCUCCCUUCCGCGCAGGGUAUGAUCCUGGAGUCACUGGAUCGAGUCCCGCAUUGGGUUCCCUGCAUGGAGCCUGCUUCUCCCUCUGUGUGUCUCUGCCUCUCUCUGUGUCUCUCAUGAAUAAAUAAAUAAAAUCUUCAAAAAUAAAUAAAUCACCACAGGAAAAUGUGUGUGUGUGUGUGUGUGUGUAGAUACAAGGUAAUAUUUUUUAUAAUUGCAUUAAAGUUAAUGCACAUCUUAAAUUAGAAUCUUUGAAAUGGGUUGAUUUCUUUAUAGAAAGUAGGAGAGAGGAGUUUUUGCUGUAUAUUUUAAAUAUAUAAAAUUUAUUCAUCUUAAUGCUCACUGAAAAAAGUAUGUUUACUAAUUUUGUAAUCAAUUAAAUAAUAGGAUCUAAUUCUUUGGAUUUGUUUUGACAGUGAUUUGAUGUCAACAAUUUAAGCUUUUAUGGUUGAGUAAAAUAAGAAAGGCUUAAUACAACUUUUGUAACUAAGGAAAUCACUUAGAGUCUAGGUGAACUUUGACCAAUGAAAUACUUGAAGAUUUUCCUUUUUUUUUUUUUCCCCUUAUAAGAGGUAAUCAACAUAUAUAGUUCACCCAUUUAAAGUACAUAUGUUAGUAUAUUCACAGGGUUGUGCAACCAUCACCACAAUCUAAUUUUAGAAUAUUUUAAUCCCUACGAAAAGAAACUUCGUACUCCCUAUUCUUCCUGCCCCAAUGCUAGGCAAUCUCAAUCUACUUUCUGUCUUUAUAGAUUUUCCUAUACUGAACAUUUCGUAUAAAUGGAAUAUAAUUUGUGGUCCUUUGUGACUGGCUUCUUUCACUUAGCCUGUUUCUAGAUUUCAUAUAUGUAGAAUUUUCUUAUAAAGCAAAACUGAAAGUCUGCCUGCACAAAAACACCUUGAGGUACAAAUUCCUUUGCAUUUGAAAUUCAAAAUUAAUUUAGUUAAUAAGAUUAUAUUUCUCCUUUUUCACAGAUCAGCUUUGAAAUUUAAAAACAAUGGAGAAGACUCAAGAAACAGUCCAAAGAAUUCUUCUAGAACCCUAUAAGUAUUUACUUCAGUUACCAGGUAAACAAGUGAGAACCAAACUUUCACAGGCAUUUAAUCAUUGGCUAAAAGUUCCAGAAGAUAAGCUACAGAUUAUCAUUGAAGUGACAGAAAUGUUGCAUAAUGCCAGUUUGCUCAUCGAUGAUAUUGAAGACAACUCAAAACUUCGACGUGGCUUUCCAGUGGCACACAGCAUCUAUGGAAUUCCAUCUGUCAUCAAUUCUGCCAAUUAUGUAUAUUUUCUUGGCCUACAGAAAGUCUUAACCCUUGACCACCCAGAUGCAGUGAAGCUUUUUACCCACCAGCUUUUGGAACUUCAUCAGGGACAAGGUCUAGACAUUUAUUGGAGGGAUAAUUACACUUGUCCCACUGAAGAAGAAUAUAAAGCUAUGGUGCUGCAAAAGACAGGUGGACUAUUUGGAUUAGCAGUAGGUCUCAUGCAGUUGUUCUCUGAUUACAAAGAAGAUCUGAAGCCACUACUUAAUACACUUGGGCUCUUUUUCCAAAUUAGGGAUGAUUAUGCUAAUCUACACUCCAAAGAAUACAGUGAAAACAAAAGCUUUUGUGAAGAUCUAACGGAGGGAAAGUUCUCAUUCCCUACUAUUCAUGCUAUUUGGUCGAGACCUGAAAGCACCCAGGUGCAGAAUAUCUUGCGCCAGAGAACCGAAAAUAUAGAUAUUAAAAAAUACUGUGUACAUUAUCUUGAGAAUGUAGGUUCUUUUGAAUAUACCCGGAGUACUCUUAAAGAGCUUGAAUCUAAAGCCUAUAAACAAAUUGAUGCACGUGGUGGAAACCCUGAGCUCGUAGCUUUAAUAAAGCACUUAAGCAAAAUGUUCAAAGAAGAAAAUGAAUAAUAAGCCAUUCUUGAUUAGGCCUGGUAGCUUAUUGUAGUUGACUAUUUUUUUUGUCUUUUAGCCUAUUGCUUUUUUAACAACUUGGACCAAGCUGUCAGUCUCCAAAAGUGGAUAGGGGUGAUGUGAGUAAGGUUGUUUCAAUUUAUAACCCCUUUGCACAGAUAAUCAUAGUACAAAGUUGGAGGAAUCAAAAGGAACCACAUUUAAAUAGGUUUUAUUUGAAUGUCAGAAUGUGCUGUGUUUGGACCUUAUGGACAACUGCCACAAACGUUCUGUUGAUUCCGUCAAUAAAGAAGACUUCAGCUUCCAGGAAUUUUUAUCCAAAUACUUCCUAACUGUACUGUGUGGGCAGUUCCUCAUUUGUCUACCCCAGUUCCAAGCCAGUGACUCCUUGGGGCCAGUUUCUGUAGCUAGCUAGCCCAGAGACCACUGGACCUCCUCUUUCUUCCUAAAUGUUGCUACUUAGAAUAUCUCAGUCUCCUCUUGGAAACUCCCUCACUAAAGUCUUCCAUGAAAAAGCUGACUAUGGUAUGUGUCCUGAACCUGAACCUGAACCUGGUGGUCCCUUCAGUGAAUUCCCUUUGUUCUUAAGGUAGGCUGAUCUCCAUGCUAUAAGAAGAGAAAAGCAAGAAGGCACAAGAUGGCUUAAGAGACUGUUAUAGUAAAUUGCCAUUGUGUGAAAAAGAAUGAAAUAAAAUAAUUUACAUAAAUUAUUCCUAGUAUGGAACCAAUGGACAGAAACUGUGAAAUAGGAGAAGCAAGAGAGACUUUUCGCAUUAAACCAUUUAUUACUGUUGA